RNAcentral lists this ribosomal RNA (461 nucleotides) under uncultured Candidatus Poseidoniales archaeon. RNAcentral's name for it is "bacterial SSU rRNA". It matches the Rfam family "Archaeal small subunit ribosomal RNA", at positions 463 to 923 of the family's 1478-position model. The record is from RNAcentral. Lineage: Archaea; Methanobacteriati; Thermoplasmatota; Candidatus Poseidoniia; Candidatus Poseidoniales.
CGCCGCGGUAAUACCGGCACCCCAAGUGGUCGUCGCUUUUUAUUGGGCCUAAAACGUCCGUAGCCUGUUUGGUAAACCCGUGGGUAAAUCAACAUGCUCAACAUGUUGACUUCUGCGGAGACUGCCAGACUAGGGACCGGGAGAGGUGUGGGGUACUCAUGGGGUAGGGGUAAAAUCCUGUCAUCCCAUGAGGACCACCUGUUGCGAAGGUGCCACACUGGAACGGAUCCGACGGUCAGGGACGAAGCCUAGGGGCACGAACCGGAUUAGAUACCCGGGUAGUCCUAGGUGUAAACGCUGUGGACUUGGUGUUGGGGAUCCGACAUGGGUCUCCAGUGCCGCAGCGAAGGUGUUAAGUCCACUGCCUGGGGAGUACGGUCGCAAGGCUGAAACUUAAAGGAAUUGGCGGGGGAGCACUGCAACGGGAGGAGCGUGCGGUUUAAUUGGACUCAACGCCGGGA